This 9135-nucleotide long non-coding RNA is filed under the name Fragaria vesca (wild strawberry). RNAcentral's name for it is "long non-coding RNA (FVES_LNC003319)". Lineage: Eukaryota; Viridiplantae; Streptophyta; Magnoliopsida; Rosales; Rosaceae. The record is from RNAcentral.
GGGUCAAGGCAGCAUAACACGAGUCAAGGUAGCCUAUGGCGGGUCAAAGGAGCAUAACGCGAGUCAAGGCGGCCCUAGAAGGGUCAAGACGGCCCCUUGGCGGGUCAAGGCGGCCUAAACCGGGCCAAGGCGAGUCAAGUCAACCAAGGCGGAUCAAGGCUAACUAAGCGGGUCAGGGCGAGUCAAAGAGGCCCCUUAACGGCCUUAGGCGGGUCAAGGCGGCCCCUUAGUGGCCCUAGGCGGGCUUGACCUUUAACGGGUCAAGGCGGCCCUAGUCGGGUAAAGGUGGCCUUUUUAGACAGGUGAACGCGACCCGAUGGAGGAUCAAGGCGGCUUCUUGGCAACCCAUAGAGAGUCAAAGCGGCCCUAGACCGGUCAAGGUGGCCCAAGGCUGGUCAAGGCGGCCUUAGACGGGUUAAGGCGAGUCAAGGCGGGAUAAGAUGGGUCAAGACGGCCCAAGGCGGGUCAUGGCGACCCAAGGCGAGUCAAGGCGGCCUAAGGAGUGUCAAAGAGGGUCAAGGCAGCCCAAAGCAGGUCAAGGCAACCCAAGGCGGAUCAAGGCAGCCCAAAGCAGGUCAAGGCAACCCAAGGCGGGUUAAGGCGGAUCAAGGCGGGCCUAGAAGGGUUAAGGCAACCUUUAGCGGGUCAAUGCGGCCCAUAAUCGGCCUUAGACGAGUGAAGGCAAUCCCUUAGCUGGUCAAGGCAGCCCUUGGCGGCCCUAGUCUUGCAAAGGCGGUUGCUUAAUGAAAUAGGCAGGUCAAGGAGACCCUAGGAGGGUUUAGGAGAGCCAAGGCAGCCUCUUAGUAAGUCAAGGCGGCCCCUUAGCAGCUUAGGACAAGUGAAUGCGGCCCAUUAACGUGUCAAGACGGCUUCUUGGCGGCCUUAAGAGGGUCAAGGGGGUGCAUGUACAGCAGUACGGUACAUGUACUUGCUUGUCGCCCAAUGCGGCCCAAACCGGGCCAAGAAGGGUCAAGGUAGCCCUAGGCGGAUCAAGGCGGGCUAAGGCGGGUCAAGGCAGCCCAAGGUGGAUCAAGGCGGGCCAAGGUGUGUCAAGGCAGCCCUAGGAUGGUCAAGGCGGGCCAAUGCGGGUCAAGGCAGCCCAAGGUGGAUCAAGGCUGGCUAAGGCGGGUCAAGGCGGCCCUAGUCAGGUAAAGGCAACCCUACGUGGGUCAAGGCAGGUCAAAGCUGCCCCUUGGCAGCCCUAGGCGUGUUAAGGCGGCCCCUUGGUGGCCCUAGACGGGCCUAUGAGGGUUAAGGCAGCCCUUUAGCGGGUCAAGACAGCCCCUAAACGGCCUAAGACGAUUGAAGGUAGCUCCUUAGUUGGUCAAGGCAGCCCCUUGGCGGCCCUAGUCGGGUAAAGCUGGCCGCUUAACGACUUAGGCAUGUCAAGGCGGCCCUAGGAGGGUUUGGGAGAGUCAAGGCAGCUCCUUAGUGGGUCAAAACGGCCCCUUGGCGGCCUUAGACAGGUGAACGCGGCCCCUUGGAGGGUCAAAGCGGCUUCUUGGCAGCCCUAAGAGAGUCAAGGCGGGUAAAGGUGAGCCAAGGCGGUAAAGGUUGCCCAAAGCAGGUCAAGGCGACCCCUUGGUGGCCCAAAAUAGGUUAAGACUACCUCUUGGCGGCCCUAGGAGGGUCAAGGCUGGUUAAGGCGGGUUAAGGCGGCCCCUUGGCGGCCCAAGGCGGGUCAAGGCAGCCUAAGGCGGAUCAAGGUGGCCCUAGGCGGGUCAAGGCGGCCCAAAGCGGGCCAAGGCGGCUUAAGGCAGGUUAAGGCAGCUUAAGGUAAGCCAAGGCGGGUCAAGUCAGCUUAAGGUAAGCCAAGGCGGGUCAAGGUGGCCUAAAACGAGUCAAGGCAAGUCAAAGCGGAUCAAGACAGGCCAAGACGGGUUAAGGCAACAUAAGGCGGGCAAAGGCGGAUCAAGGCGGCCCAAGGUGGGCCAUGGCGGGUCAAAGUGGGUCAAGGCAGCCUAAGGCGGGUCAAGGUAGCCCAUCGCGGGUUAAGGCAGGCCAAGGCGGGUUAUAACGGGCCAAAGCGGGUCAAGGUGUCCCAAGAUGGGCAAUGGCCGGUCAAGGCAGCAUAACGCUGGUCAAGGUAACCCAUGGCUGGUCAAAGUAGCAUAACGCGGGUCAAGGCGGCCCAAGGCGGGUCAAGGCGUCCCAAGAUGGGCCAUGGCGGGUCAAGGCAGCAUAAUGCGGGCAAAGGCGUAUCAAGGCGGGUCAAGACGUCCCAAGGUGGGCCAUGGCGGCCCAAGGUGGGUCAAGACGGGUCAAAAAGGGUCAAGGUAGCCCAUGGCGGGUUAAGGCAGGCCAAUGCGGGUUAUGACGGGCCAAAGCGGGUCAAGGCAGCCCUAGACGGGUUAAGGCGUACCAAAGUGGGCCAUGACGGGUCAAGGUGGCCCAAUGCGGGUCAAGGUGGCCCAAGGCGGGUCAAGGCAGCCUUAGACGGGUUAAGGCGUACCAAAGUGGGCCAUGACGGGUCAAGGCAGCAUAAGGUGGGUCAAGGCGGGCCAAGGGAGCUCAUUGCAGAUCAAGGCGGGCUAAGGUGGGUCAAAGCGGAUCAAGACGGGCUAAGGUGGGUCAAGGCGGCCCAAGGUGGGCCAAGGCGGGUCAAGGCGGGUCAACGCGGGUCAAGGCAAGUCUUGGCGGCCUAAGGUUAGCCAAGGCGGGUCAAGACAACAUUAAGCGGGCAAAGGCGGAUUAAAGCAGGUCAAGGCGGCUCAAGGUGGUUUAAGGCGGCCCAAAACAGGUAAAGGCAGGUCAUGGCAAGCCAAGGCGGGUUAAGGUAGCCUAAGGCCGGCCAAGGCGGGUCUUAGCAGCCCAAGGCGGGUGAAGGUGGGUCAUGGCGGGCGAAGGCGAGUCAAGGUGGGCCAUGGCGGGCCAAGCCGGGUCAUGGCAUCCCAAGCCGGGUCUAAGCAGCCCAAGGCGGGUCAUGGCAUCCCAAGGCGGGUCAAGAUAGCCCAAGUCGGGGAAAGGCGGGUCAUGGUAGCAUAAGGCGGGCAAAGGCGGGUCAAGACGGCCCUAGGCUGAUUAAGGCAGGUCAGGGCGGCCCAAAGCGGGCUAAGGUGGGUCACCCACGGCGAAUUAAGGCGGGUCAAGGCAGACCUAGACGGGUCAAGGCAACCUAAGGCGGGUCAUGGUAGCCCAAAAGCGGGCCAAGACGAGUCAAGGCAGCUCAAGGCGAAUCACGGCGGCCCCUUGGUGGCAUUAGGCAGGUUAAGGCGGUCAAAAGCGGGCCAAGGCGGGUUAAGGUAGCUCAAGGAAAAUCAAGGCGGGCCAAAGCGGAUCAAGGUGGCCUAAGGCGGGUCAUGGCAGCCCAAAGCGGGUCAAGGCAGCCUAAGGUGGGUCAUGGUAGCCCAAGGCGGGUCAAGGUAGACCAAGGCGGUCAUGGAAGCCCAAAGCGGGUCAUGGCAGCACAAGGUGGGUCAAGGUACCCCAAGGCGGGUCAUGCCAGCCCAGAGCGGGCCUAAGCGGGUUAAGGUAGCCCAAGGCGGGUCAAGGCAGGCCAAGGCGGCCCCUUAGCGGCAUUAGGCGGGUUAAGGCGGUUAAAAACGGGCCAAGGCAGAUCAUGGCAGCCAAAAGCCGGUCAAGGCAGCUCAAGGUGGGUCAUGGCAGCCCAAGGCGGGUCAAGACAGCCCAAGGUGGGUCAUGGCAGCCCAAUGCGGGUCAAGGCAGCCCAAGGCGGGCGGCAGGCCAAGGCGGGUCAUGGCAGCUCAAGGCGGGUCAAGAUGCAGCCUAAGACAGGUCAUGGCAGCCCAAGGCAGGUCAAGACGGGUCAAGGCAGCUCAAGGCAGCCGAAGGUGGGUCAUAGCUGCCUAAGGCGGGUCAAGAGAACGGAAGGAGGGCCAAGGCAGGUCAAGGCAGGCCAACGUGGGUCAAGGCGGGUCAAAGCGGGUCAUGCGGCCAAGCUUAGUCAAGGCAGCCGAAGGAGGGUCAUGGCAACCCAAGGCGGGUCAAGUAGCUCAAGGCGGGUCAAGGCAGCCCAAGGCGGGUAAUGGCUUCCCAAGGCGAGUCAAGGGAGCCCAAGGUGGGCUAAGGUGGGUCAAGGCGGGUCAAAACGGGUUACGGCGGCCCAAGGCGAGUCAAGGCAGCCCACGGCGAGUCAAGGCAGCCCAAGGCGGGUCAUGGCUGCCCAAGGCGGGCCUUGGCGGGUCAAGGUAUGCCAAGGCGGGUCAAGGCAGCCCAAGGCGGGCCAAAGCGGGUCAAGGCGGCCCUAGACGGGUCAAGGCGGGUUAAGUGGGUCAAGGCGAAUCAAGGUGAGCUAAUGGAGCCCAAGGCGGGUCAAGGCAGCCCAUGGCGGGUCAAGGCGACCCAAGGCGGAUCAAAGUGGGUCAUGGCGGCCCAAAGCGAGUCAAGGCGGCCUAUGGUGAGCCAAGGCGGGUCAAGGCAAUAUAAGACAGGUCAAGGCGGCCCAAAGCGGUCCCUUGGCGGCCCUAGUUGGGUAAAGGCGGCUGCUUAACUACCUAGGUAGGUCAAGCCGACCCUAGGAGGGUCUAGGAGAGUCAAGCUAGCCCUUUUGCGGGUCAAGGCGACCCUUUAGCGGCAUUAGACAGAUGAAUGCGGCCCCUUGGAGUGUCAAGGCGGUUUCUUGGCGGCCCUAAGAGGGUCAAGGUGGGUAAAGAAUGCCCACGGUGGGUAAAGGUAGUCCAAGGUGGGUCAAGGCGGCCCCUUGGUGGCCUAAAUUGGGUUAAAGCGGUCUCUUGGCGGCCCUAGGAGCAUCAAGGUUGGUUAAGACGGGCCAAGGGGGGUCAAGCCGGGUUAAGGCAGCCCAAUGCAAGCCAAGGAGUGUUAAGGCAAACCCCAUAGCGGGUCAAGACGGCCCCUUGGUGGCCCUAGGAGGGCCUAGAAGGGUCAAGGCAGCCUUGGGUGGGUUUAAGAGGGUCAAGGCCAUCCCUUGGCGACCCUAGACAGGUGAACGCGGCCCCUUGGCGGCCCUAGGAGGGCCUAGAAGGGUCAAGGCAACCUUGGGUGGGUUUAGGAGGGUCAAGGCCAUCCCUUGGCGGCCCUAGACAGGUGAACGCGGCCCCUUGGCGGCCCUAGACAGGUAAAGGGGGCCUCUUGAUGGCCCUAGAUGGGUAAAGGGGCCUCUUUGUGGCCCUAGAUGGGUUAAGGCGGAUCAAGGCGGCUGUAGACGAGAUAAGGCGGGCCUAGGCGGGUCAAGCCCAAAACGGAUCAAGGCAACAUAAGGUGGGUCAUGGCAGCCUGAGGUGGGUUAAAGUAGCCAAAGGCGGAACAAGGCGGGACAAGGCGGCCCUGGACGGGUUAAGGCGGCCUAAGACGGGUUAAGGUAGCCCAAGGCAGGUCAGGCCAACCCAAGGUAUGCCAAGGCGAGUCAAGGCGGCCCCUUGACGGGUCAAGUCAGCCUAAGGCGGGUCAAGACAGCCUAAGGCGGGUCAAGGCAGUCCACGGCGGGCCAAAGUGGGUUAUGGCGGCCCAAAGUGGGUCAAGGCGGCCCAAGACGGGUCAAGGCGGCCCAAGAUGGGCCAAGGCUGGUCAAGGUAGGCCGCGGAUUAAGGCGGGCCAAAGUGGAUCAAGGUGGCCCUAGACGGGUCAAGGUAGCCCAAGGCUGGCCAAGGCAGGUCAAGGCAACCCAAGACAGCUGAAGGCAGCCUAAUGUGUGCCAAGGCAGCAUAAGGAGGGUCAAGGCGGCCCAAGGCGGUUCAUGGCGGCCCAAGGCAGUUCAUUGCGGGUCAUGGCGGGUCAAGGCAGCCUAAGGCGGGUCGCGGGUCAAGGCAGCCCAAAGCGGCCGCGGGUCAUGGCGGCCCAAAACGGGUCAAGGUAGCCCAAAGCGAGUCAAGGCAUCCCAAGGUGGGUCAAGGCAGCCCAAGGCCGGUCGAGGCAGCCCAAGGUGGGUCGCGGGUCAAGGCAGCACAAGGCGGCCGCGGGUCAUGGCGGCCCAAGGCGGGUCAAGGUAGCCCAAAGCGAGUCAAGGCAUCCCAAUGCGGGUCAAGGCAACAUAAGACUGGUCAAGGUAGCUCCAAGCGGGUCAAGGCAACUCAACACGGGUCAAGGCAGCAUAAGACGGGUCGAGGCAGCCCAAGGCGGGGCUAGGAGGGUCAAGGUAGCCCAAGGCGGGUUAAAGCGGCCCAAGGCCCAAGGUGGGUCAAGGCGGCUCCUUGCGGGGUUAAGGCAGGUUAAGGCAGCAUAAGGCCGGCAAAAGGGGGUCAAGGCGGCCCAAGGAGGGUUAAGGCGGCCCUAGGAGGGUCAAGGCGUUCCAAAAUGGGCCAUGACGGGUCAAGACAGCCCAAGGCGAAUCAAGGCAGGCCAUGGCGGAUCAAGGCGAGCCUAGGCGGGUCAAGGCAGCCCAAGGCUGGUCAAGGCAGCAUAAGGUGAGUCAAGGCAGCCCAAGGUUGGCCUAGGCGGGUCAAGGUAUUUCAAGGUGGGUAAGGGCAGCCCAAAGCAAGCCAAGGCAGGUUAAGGCAGCCCAAGGCGGGUCAAGGUGGGUCAAGGUGGCCCUUUGAUGGGUCAAGGCGAGUCAAGGAAGCCCAAGGUGGAUAAAGGCGGGUCAAGGCAGCCCUAUGGCGGCCCUAAGAGGGUCAAGGCAGCCCAAAGCGGAUCAAGGCUUGUCAAGACGGCCCUAGGCGGGUCAAGGCGGCACUAGAUGGGUUAAGGUGUCCUCUUUGCGGCCCUAAGCGGGCCUAGGCGUGUCAAGAUAUCCCAAGGUGGGUCAGGCCUACCCAAGGUAUGCCAAGGCGAGUUAAGGCGGCCCCUUGGCGGGUCAAGUCAGCCCAAAGCGGGCCAAGGUGGGUCAAGGUAACCUAAGAGGGGUCAAGUCAGCUCAAGGCUGGCCAAAGCGGGUCAAGGCGGGCUAAAGCGGGUCAAGGAGGCCCUAGACGAAUCAUGGCGACCCAAGGUGGGCCAAGGCAGAUCAAGGUAGCUUAAGAUAGGUCAAGACGGCCCCUUGGCGGCCCUAGGCGGGUCAAGGAGGCCCUUAGCGGUCCUAGGUGGGUCAAGGCUGCCCCUUGGGCGCCCUAGGCGGGUCAAAGCGGUGGUAGAUGGGUUAAGGCGACCUCUUUGCGGCCCUAGGAGAGUUAAGGCGGCCCAAGACGUGUCAAAGGCGGCCUAAGGCAUGUCAAGGCGGCCCAAGACAGGUCAAGGCGGCCCCUUAGCGGCCCUAGGCGGGUCAUGGUGGCCAAAAGCGGGCCAAGGCGGGUCAUGGCGGGUUAAGACUGCCCAAGGCUGGUCAAAGCGGGUCAUGGCAGCCUAAGGUGAGCCAAGGCGGGUCAAGGCAACAUAAAGUGGGCAAAGGCUGGUCAAGGCGGCCCAAAGCGGGCCCUUGGCGGCCCUUGUCGAGUAAAGGCGGCUACUUAAUGACCUAGGCAGGUCAAGGCGGCCCUAGGAGGGUCUAGGAGAGUCAAGGCGGCCCUUUUUUGGCUUUAUACAGGUGAAUGCGGCCCCUUAGAGUGUCAAAGUGACUUCUUGGCGGCCCUAAAAGGGUCAAGGCGGGUAAAGGUUGCCCAAGGCAGGCCAAGGUGGGUAAAGGUAGUCUAAGGCAGGUCAAGGCGGCCCCUUGGUGGCCCAAAAUGGGUUAAGGCGGCCUUUUGGCGGCCCUAGGAGCAUCAAGGUUGGUCAAGGCGAGCCAAGGGGGGUCAAGGCGACCCUAAGAGUGUUAAGGCAGCCCCAUAACGGGUUAAGGCGGCCCCUUGGUGGCCCUAGGAGGGCCUAGAAGGGUUAAGGCAGCCCUGGGCGGGUUAAGGCGGGUUAAGGCGGCCCAAGGCGGGUCAAGGAGGCCCUAGGCGGGUCAAGGCAGCCCAAACCGGGUCAAGGGGGGUCAAGGCAGCAUAAGGUGGGCAAAGGCGGGUUAAGGCAGCCCAAGGAAGAUCAAGGCGGCCAUAGACGGGUCAAGGCAGCCCAAAUCGGGCAAAGGCAAGUUAAGGCAGCCCAAGGCGGAUCAAGGCGGGCUAAGGCAAGAUCAAGACGGGUCAAAGAUGGCCAAGGCGGAUCAAGGCGGGCCAUGGUGUGUCAAGGCAGCCCUAGACGGGUGAAGGCGGCCUUAUGGUGACCCUAAGAGGGUCAAGGCGGCCCUAGACGGGUGAAGGCGGCCUUAUGGUGACCCUAAGAGGGUCAAGGCGGCCCUAUGAGGGUUAAGGCGGCCCAAAACAGGCCAAGGCGGGUCAAGGGAGCCUAAGACAGAUCAAUGCUGGCUAAGGCAGGUCAAUGCAGCCCUACGCGGGUCAAGGCGGGUCAAAACGGCCCUAGGCGGGUCAAAGCGGCCCUAAGAGGGUCAAGGCAGCCCCUUAGCGGGUUAAGGCAGCCCCUAAGCGGCCUUAGACGAGUGAAGGCAGCCCCUUAACUGGUCAAGGCGACCCCUUAGCGGCCUUAGUUGGGUAAAGGCGGCCACUUAACGACCUAGUCAAGUCAAGGCGGCCCUAGGAAGGUCUAGGAAAGUCAAGGCAGCCCCUUACCGUGUCACGACGGCCCCUUGGCGGCUUUAAAUAGGUGAACGUGGCCCCUUAGAGGGUCAAGGCGGCUUCUUAGUGGCCUUAAGAGGGUCAAGACGGGUAAAGGUAGCCCAAGGCAGGUCAAGGCGGCCCCUUGGUGGCCCAAAAUGGCUUAAAGCGGCCAAGGAGGAUCAAGGCUGGUCAAGGCAGCCCAAUGCAGAUCAAAGUGGCCCUAGGAGAGUCAAGGCAGCCCCUUAGCGGGUCAAGGCGGCCCCUUGGUUGCCCUAGGAGGGUCAAGGCAGCCCUAGGAGUGCCUAAGAGGGUCAAGGCGGCCCUAGACGGGUGAACGCGGCCCCUUGGCGGCCCUAGAUGGGUUAAGGCGGCCUCUUAGCAGUCCUAGAAGGGUCAAGGCGGGUCAAGACGGCCCAGGGUGGGCCCUAAACACUCUCUCACUGUACGUGUUUCACUCUCUCUAAUCUCUCACAAUCAGGCUCUCGAGCGGCUAUGAUACUAAAAUUGUUGAAGACUUAAACUCUAACACAGAAAACUCUGAUUGCUUGGUGAAUAAUUCUUACAGAAUCCAAAGCAAAGUUCUUAUAUAUAUAUAUAUAUAUAUAUAUAUAUAUAUAUAUUAUAUGUGUGUGUGUGUAUGGCCUAGCUACAAUGAUACUGGAAAGAUAAAGAUGCAGCCCAAGCUUUACAAGCCUAACAACGUGGUAAACUAGUUGAAGAAUGGCAAAUGAAAUGAAUAGAGAUGUCAGAC